Pan troglodytes (chimpanzee) is the source of this 1954-nucleotide long non-coding RNA. RefSeq lists it as uncharacterized. The transcript is spliced from 2 exons. The record is from RefSeq and is a predicted model, not a curated record. Lineage: Eukaryota; Metazoa; Chordata; Mammalia; Primates; Hominidae.
GCCGCGGCCCCGCCCACACGCAGGCCCCGCCCACACUCCUGGAGCUGGGGUUCGCGGCCGCAGCGCCUGCGGCCCAGAGCGGGGCCUGCUCUUCCACACCAGUCCGCAUUGCCUCUCCCUGCAGCGAGCGGGGAAAGGACGCAGUGCUGCUGAGUGUCUUCAUUUUUGUUCGUUUUUGUCGUCAUUCCUCAAAGAGGAAAAAGGGCUUUGCCGAAUAAAGGGGCUACUGUCCCAGGGAUUUUCCGGCUUAAUUUAGGAGGGCUGAGAAGAGAGGGACGUGGCCGGCUCCGGAAGAACCUCGACCUGGUCUUCGAGGCUUUGGAACAGGGUCUCAAGCUUUAGAAAUGUCCCCAAAAGUAUGUUCCCAGAGAGCUUCAAAAUCCAGCUCUCCGCUCCGCUUGGAUAGUAAAUAGCCCCUUCAAACUUAACGUCCAAACGGAACUCCUGGAACUCCCAAUGCACCGAAGCAAAGCAAAAACGUUCUCCACCAGUCUUCUUUGCCAUCUCAAUCAAUGGCUACUCUAUUCUUAAGAGGCAAAAAUUUAGGAAUCCUCCCUGCCUCUUCUCUUUCACACCCCACAUCUAAUCUGCCAGCAAAAUCUUGUUGGCCCUGCCUCCAAAAUAGACCCCUAAUCUGGCCGUGUCACACCACCUCCACCUCCUACCCUCUGAUGUGCAUCAGAGGGUUGUACCACCCCACCCGUGUGGUUACAGCAGCCCCCCAAAUAUCCCCUCACCAUCCCGCACCUGCACAGUCCAGCCUGAACAAAGCCGCCAGACCAGUCCUUUGAAGCGUGACACCAAGUCACUUCUUUGCUCAGCACUUUCCAUUAAUUCCUCGUUUCACGCAGGAUAAAAGCUCCAUUUGAUCUACCCCCAGCCACAUUUCCUCCUGUUCUCACCUUCCUCACUCUUCUUCAGCUGAAAUGGCCUCCUGGCUCUCCUUGAAAAAGCAGGGUACACUCAUGUCCCAGGGCUUUUGGACUUCCUCAUCCCCCAAAUAUUGAGGUUUCGUUCCUCAUUUUCCUUCAAGUCUUUGUUCAAGUAUCACCUACCCUGACCAUCCUAUUUAAAUUUGUAAAUCAUUCCAAUAUUCCUAAUCCGCCUUACCCUACUUCGUUUUUUCCAUAGCACUUACCACCUUUUAACAGGAUUCUUUUAAUGUACUUAUGUGUACUGUAUUCUUCCCCUUCUCCUGCCACCACCCACGCACACAACAUAACCAUCAGUGCAGAUUGUUUCUGUUUUGUUUAAUGAUGAACAAUACCUAACAUGUCAUAAGUUCUCGUUAUAUAUUUUCUGCAGAAAUGAAUGUUUCAGAAUGUGCACUCCUCAAAAGCAGGGAUGGUGGCUCUCUUGUUCAUUGUUAUAUCCCUGGUGCUUAGAACAACACCUGGCACUAAAUGAAAGUGACCACAUUUUUUUAAAGGUGAUUGGCACCUCCUCCUGCUUUGACCUUGGUGUAAGGCCUAAUAUACCUGUAUCAGCUAGGUUCUGCUACCUGCAAGAACUCAAAGUCGUUAUUGAAUAAGCAUUUAGGCAAGCCGAAUUAGACUGUGUAGUUAAAGCAUGAAAAAACUAAAGAUGUGCUUCCUGGGAAAGCAGCACACAUCUGUUGCAUUUCCCCAAAUUUAUGAAGCCAAAAACAGAGAGAUUGUAAAUAAAAUACUGGUUCCAGCCCACAUCUGAAAGCUGGUGGGAAAAAUCAAGUUAUAAGAGAAAACGAGAAAAAGAAAUCACACUGUGCACACAGGAAGAACACCAUGUGAACACGAAAGCAGAGAUCAGGACGAUACAUCUACAAGCCACAAACACCAGGACUGCCGAAAGCUAGGACAGAGCCAUGGAACAGAUUCUCCCUCACAGCCCUCGGAGUGAACUAACCCUGUGGGUAUCUUGAUCUUGGACUUCCAGCCCUCCAGAACAAUGAGACAACAAAUUUGUUUUCAAAUCA